RNAcentral lists this long non-coding RNA (454 nucleotides) under Homo sapiens (human). RNAcentral describes it as "HSALNT0110614". Lineage: Eukaryota; Metazoa; Chordata; Mammalia; Primates; Hominidae. The record is from RNAcentral.
ACAGUAUUGCCAACCAAAGCCAUAAGACACCUAUUUCAAGGCAGGAAACUGCAUAGAAUGAAAUGAGAUACAGCUGCAAAUUUUGGCUGUGGCACUCUACUGUGAUGUGGGGCAACUAGAAUAAGAUAAGUGAAAUUGCCAACAGCAGAGUUGAUCCUUCCUAAGAAAAUAUAAUAAUAUUUCCACCCUGGUGCUUCAACAAAGCAUGGUGCUGAGCAUGAGGACGUCUUGUGACCCCAGGUGAAGACAGCCUACGCGGAAAGGAAGGAAACUGUAGGAUUGAAACAGUGGAUGAGCUACAGGAGUGGCUAUGAACAACCCUCAGUGAUAAUACUCUCUUGCUUACAGCCAGCCCCAAAUAAACAAACCUUUAGUUAUUAUAAAGUGUUUUGUUUUUAUCUUUAGAUUAAAUAUGACAAAAAUAUUUACAAAAGAGAGAAUAGAGGUUUCAAAG